AGAACGAACGCUGGCGGCAGGCUUAACACAUGCAAGUCGAGCGCCCACUUCGGUGGGAGCGGCAGACGGGUGAGUAACGCGUGGGAAUCUACCCAUCUCUACGGAACAACUCCGGGAAACUGGAGCUAAUACCGUAUACGCCCCCCUUUAGAGAUAUUGGGCGGGGAAAGAUUUAUCGGGGAUGGAUGAGCCCGCGUUGGAUUAGCUAGUUGGUGGGGUAAAGGCCUACCAAGGCGACGAUCCAUAGCUGGUCUGAGAGGAUGAU
This 265-nucleotide ribosomal RNA is filed under the name uncultured soil bacterium. RNAcentral's name for it is "partial 16S ribosomal RNA". It matches the Rfam family "Bacterial small subunit ribosomal RNA", at positions 26 to 304 of the family's 1533-position model. The record is from RNAcentral.